AAACGUUUCGUGAUCCCAACCCGCACCCGAGCCAGAGCAAACCCUACCCGAGCGAAUCCUCCCGCACACCCUGCCUCCACCGCACCCAUCGUCCCCAAUCCUGCGCCGCCGCCCCCGUCGCCCAAACUUCCACGGCCCAUCACCUCCACACGCCGCCGAGCUGCAGCGCCGGCAGCUGCCACUGCCGCAGCCUCGCAGGGUUGGGGACGAAGGGCACAACCUAGCCAAGGGACGGCCAUGGAGGGCAGCAGGCACGAGAAGGGGAGCCAAAGGGAAGGAAGGAGGGCGGCGCGACGGCUGAAAGCUUCACCGAAACCAGGCGGACGGCGGCGCUUCCGCGCGAGGCAUGACGGGGGGUAGGGGCGGGCCUCCCCGACCUUCGAUCCCCUCGCUUCAACGGCGGCGGCACCCCGUCCUUUUCUAAGGCUUGCAACCACGUCCAGCUCGACGUCCUGUGCUUCGGGGAUGGUGGCGCUUCUGCUCCUCGUGCGGGAGGAUGAUGCAAAAUCGUGGAUGAAGUUCGGGAACUCCUGGUCUUGACCGACGCCCUCUGCUCCGGUCCCCGACACAGCAACCAGAUCGUGGGUGCCAUCCUGCCCUAAGGUUACAUGCACUACCUGUCUCUCCUUGAUCUGAUCUCUCAAAGUCCCGAUCUAUUUCAGCAAAACUAUCUUCUAUCUAUUUGAUACUCUUUUUUGGUAAACAGUUUUAACCUAUUGUAAUUGCUCUCAUUCUGGAGCGAGGUCACUAUUGACAAGUCAUUGCAGUGCUACUACCGCAUUAAUCUUAGCAGUGAAGCUAUGGUCUGUUCUUUGGUACAACAAUGAAAUGUUAAUAUGCCAUUCUCCUUUAUGCUUUGUGUCAGUGCACUGUGGUAUGACACCAACACUUAUUUGGCACCUACAUUGCAUCGACAAUUUGCCAGCUUACAGUUUGUACCAUCGAGAAUUUGCACGACUUUACACCUGCAGCUGUACCACUAUACUAUAAAUAUGUUUUGAUGUCUAAACUGGUGUUGGUACUGAACCUGAUAGUGUAUUUGGCGUAUCUUUUCU
RNAcentral lists this ribosomal RNA (1055 nucleotides) under Triticum aestivum (bread wheat). RNAcentral's name for it is "partial small subunit ribosomal RNA". The record is from RNAcentral. Lineage: Eukaryota; Viridiplantae; Streptophyta; Magnoliopsida; Poales; Poaceae.